Molecule: ribosomal RNA, 371 nt
Filed under: uncultured bacterium
Lineage: Bacteria
Description: bacterial SSU rRNA
Rfam family: Bacterial small subunit ribosomal RNA
Source: RNAcentral
UCGUCCUUACAACACGUGGGAGUAACUCCGGGAAACCGGGGCUAAUACCGGAUAUGAAACCUGCGGGCAUCCGCGGGUUUGGAAAGUUUUUCGGUUGAAGAUGAUCUCGCGGCCUAUCAGCUUGUUGGUGAGGUAAUGGGCUCACCAAGGCGACGACGGGUAGCCGGCCUGAGAGGGCGACCGGCCACACUGGGACUGAAACACGGCCCAGACUCCUACGGGAGGCAGCAGUGGGGAAUAUUGGGCAAUGGAGGAAACUCUGACCCAGCGACGCCGCGUGCGGGAUGAAGGCCUUCGGGUUGUAAACCGCUUUCAGCAGGGAAGAAGCGAAAGUGACGGUACCUGCAGAAGAAGCACCGGCUAACUAUGUG